Molecule: long non-coding RNA, 493 nt
Organism: Gopherus evgoodei (Goodes thornscrub tortoise)
Lineage: Eukaryota; Metazoa; Chordata; Testudines; Testudinidae
Exons: 3
Source: RefSeq, a predicted model, not a curated record
GCCCCCGGGGGGCCCCGCUCGGAGGGAAGGCCGAGGAAUCACGUCCACGUGUCGCUCUGGAUUGUCCGGUCUUCCAGGGGGCAGGGAAUGGAAAUGGCUGUGAUGGUGCCAGCUCAGAACCAUUGGAGGGAGGAGGGAACAUUCCUCUAUUUUUGAACCAGGAAACACGCCAGGAAAACUGACCAGACUCCCAGUGCUGGAGCCUGACCCCACUGGCCAGAGGCUGCUGUGAAAUACACAGGGAAGCUGUCGGGAUUCCUGUCCCUGUCCCCGGCUCAGAGCUCUGCUUCCCAGAUCAGCCUGUGGCUGGCAGGCAUGUGGGAAAUGAGAAGACCCUGUCCUGCUCCGUGUGCUGGGGGGACAAGGAGCUCUCACCUUCUCCCACCCCCUGAAGCCUCCUGGCUGCUCUGAGCAGGGUGCAGGUAGGAUUCUUCUACUUUGGGCCUCCUCCCUUGUGCCUAGUGGGAUUGUGGCUGGGGCAGCAGGUGCUGAG